This 564-nucleotide small RNA is filed under the name Pan troglodytes (chimpanzee). Its description in RNAcentral is "processed transcript". Lineage: Eukaryota; Metazoa; Chordata; Mammalia; Primates; Hominidae. The record is from RNAcentral.
UCCUGGAUGGAGGACAGAUUGUGACUGUAAGCCUCACAGCCACCCUGGCAAGCGUCGGCGCGGCCAGUAUCCCCAGUGCUGGGCUGGUCACCAUGCUCCUCAUUCUGACGGCCGUGGGCCUGCCAACAGAGGACAUCAGCCUGCUGGUGGCUGUGGACUGGCUGCUGGACAGGAUGAGAACUUCAGUCAAUGUUGUGGGUGACUCUUUUGGGGCUGGGAUAGUCUAUCACCUCUCCAAGUCUGAGCUGGAUACCAUUGACUCCCAGCAUCGAGUGCAUGAAGAUAUUGAAAUGACCAAGACUCAAUCCAUUUAUGAUGACAUGAAGAACCACAGGGAAAGCAACUCUAAUCAAUGUGUCUAUGCUGCACACAACUCUGUCAUAGUAGAUGAAUGCAAGUCUCUCCAUUAUGUGGAAUAUCAGUCGUGGGUUUAAGUUUGCACAUGACGUUGAGGACAGACAGACAGAAGGUAACUCUGGCAGCCAAUGGAAAGUCAGCCGACUGCAGUGUUGAGGAAGAACCUUGGAAACGUGAGAAAUAAGGAUAUGAGUCUCAGCAAAUUCU